CCCUUCGGUUGAUCCCGCCGGAGGUUACUGCUAUCGGUGUUCGCCUAAGCCAUGCGAGUCAUAUGUAGCAAUACAUGGCGUACUGCUCAGUAACACGUGGACAACCUGCCCUUAGGACGGGGAUAAACCCGGGAAACUGGGUAUAAUACCCGAUAGGUCUCGAUUGCUGGAAUGCAUCGAGAUUUAAAGCUCCGGCGCCUAAGGAUGGGUCUGCGGCCUAUCAGGUAGUAGUGGGUGUAGCGUACCUACUAGCCUACGACGGGUACGGGUUGUGAGAGCAAGAGCCCGGAGAUGGAUUCUGAGACACGAAUCCAGGCCCUACGGGGUGCAGCAGGCGCGAAAACUUUACAAUGCUGGCAACAGCGAUAAGGGAACCUCGAGUGCCAGGUUACAAAUCUGGCUGUCGAGAUGCCUAAAAAGCAUUUCAUAGCAAGGGCCGGGCAAGACCGGUGCCAGCCGCCGCGGUAACACCGGCGGCUCGAGUGGUAACCGUUAUUAUUGGGUCUAAAGGGUCUGUAGCCGGCCGGAUAAGUCUCUUGAGAAAUCUGGCAGCUUAACUGUCAGGCUUUCAGGAGAUACUGUCUGGCUCGAGGCCGGGAGAGUGAGAGGUACUUCAGGGGUAGGGUGAAUCUUGUAAUCCUUGAAGACCACCAGUGGCGAAGCGUCUCACCAGAACGGACCUGACGGCAAGGGACGAAAGCUAGGGCACGAACGGAUUAAUACCCGGUAGUCCUAGCCGUAACGAUAC
RNAcentral lists this ribosomal RNA (748 nucleotides) under uncultured archaeon. RNAcentral's name for it is "bacterial SSU rRNA". It matches the Rfam family "Archaeal small subunit ribosomal RNA", at positions 1 to 763 of the family's 1478-position model. The record is from RNAcentral.